This is an RNA transcript of Biomphalaria glabrata, 4946 nucleotides long. It is a transcript of the gene named neurogenic locus notch homolog protein 3-like, with no coding region annotated. The record is from RefSeq and is a predicted model, not a curated record. NCBI's taxonomy places the organism in Eukaryota, Metazoa, Mollusca, Gastropoda, Planorbidae. The transcript is spliced from 6 exons.
ACUUGCGAGACAGCUAUAAAUGAAAGGAAAUGUUCAGUUUAGUCAAGUCAAACACCAAGGGAAGUAAUCAUGCAGCCAGCACUAGUUAUUUUCUGUAUUGUGCUGGACAACUGUGGUGGAUGUCCGUAUGGUCAAGUGUGUGUGGACACUGGGAUUCGCUGUAUCACAGAGCCAUGUCCGACUUUCAGAUGUGUAGCUAACGACUCUUGUGGUGGUUGUCCACCAUGGGCAAAGUGUGAGAUUCUAUUUCCGCCAUGUCCGAUAUGUGUCGAUAGACCGCGCUGCAUUAGACCAAAGUGUUCGCCUGUACCAACAUGUGUGGACAUACCACCAAUAGACGAAUGUGGAGGUUGUCCAGCUGGUCAAGAAUGUCAGCCAACGGGAAUCGUCUGCAAGAAAGCCCCGUGUCCAACUCACAAGUGUGUCCUGGAUGCUCCUAUUAGACCCUGCACCCUAUUCUGCGUUAAAGGAUUAAGGUGUGUGGUCCGACCAAAAGAAUGUCCAGCCGGUACUUUGUACUGUGACAAGACUCCUGUGCCACAGUGUGUUCCAAUCAAGCUAGGUGCAUGCCCAAAAAUAAAUUAUAGUGGGAUAAAACCUGGUGUAUGUUUAUUUGAUGGGACUUGUAAUACAGACGAUGACUGCAGCCAGUUUGAAAGAUGCUGUGAAACAGGAUGCUACGAAAAGAAAUGUGUGGGCGUUCCAGUAAUAGAUUAAUUCACACACUUUUGAACACGCCUUUAAGAACGCUCGAGAUUUCUCAGUCAACUGUUUGCUGAAACUAUGGAAGAAUAAUUGUGAAAAGAUUUGCUGAGUCUUAUGUUUAAUCUUCUUUACCUUUACUAAUACAAAAUACAAAAAUAACUUUUUCUGUGUUUGUUUCAAACUAUAUAGAGUAUUAUCAUUAUUAUUAUUAUCAUUAUUAUUACUACUACUAAAAAAUCUAUGAUUACAUUUUUCUCCAACAAAUUAAAUGAUGUGAGCAUAUUAUUACUCCUUAAAAAAAAUCUUUUCUGUAUCUUAGUCGUUUUAAAAAAGUGUGAAAUAGAAACAAAUAUUUUCUUCUUUUGAGAUGCCAUCCUAUAGAAAGUAGACUGUCUGUAUGUGCAGGUAAUAUACACAAUGUUAAGAGCAAUGCAAAGCAAUGGAGUGCUUUAUUGUCUUAGGAAGUAACGUUGUAGGUAGAACCAUUGAAAUCUACUUGUCAAACAUCGCUCAAUCUAAGACGUCAUCCGCCACUUGAUCUUUUAAUGACAAAACUUAACAAAAAAAAAAACAACAGAAAAUCUUUUUGUUCCGUUAUUUUGCAGUUAAUAUCAGGGGCGUAGCUAGGGAUUUGGGUUCCUGGGGGAUCGACCUCUUUGGGGGCCCUUGCAUUUUGACAUUUGGCUUCAUGACAUGAGAUGAUCUGCUUAAUAAACAUAUAAGCCUACAUUCAAAUUCGUAAAGUAUAUCAGUAAAAUUAACAAGAAAUAAUCAUUAAGAAUCUUUUAAUGAAUAAUACCUUUGUUUAUUGGCAAAAUAAUGGCGAAAGAAUGCACAAGUGACAAAUCUCAAUUGAUAUCGCUUCACGUCGUGCUUUCUGUGCAUUAAAGGCAUCUAUAACAUCAGCUACAUCGAUACAGUAUUUUAUUUGUGUCUUCACUUAAUUUAAAGCCAUCCUAACUAAGCCUUUCUUGUGUCAUUGUGUCACUGACAUUAAAGUCAUGCUAAGUCUUUCUUAUAUCAUUGGGCUCCUGAGAUAGUUUUUGAUUAACUUGAGCUUUGAAAUUUUCUUUCACAUGACGCAAUGGAAAUUGCCUAAGUUAGCAGAUUUCGGAUGCAGGUUGCAAGGUUUGAGCACACAUCAUUACCAUAUGAAGCCAGCUUCCUCAAUAUGUCAAUUGGUGAUUGUGGCACUGGUUUGUUCAUGAAAAGUGCUCGUGCAUCAAUGAUAUCAUUCAAUAAGCGAUUUGCCUGUAUCAAACAGGAAAAAGUAACACAGUUGUUCUUCAUCGUGUCAUCAUCCAUAGACCCCAAAAGGUGUCUUGUUUCAAGAAGAAACCCAAAGGUGUCCACAUGGUUUUCCAGCCUUUGGAAUCUGUCCUUCAUCUCCAUAUGAAGUCUGUCCAGCCUUUGGAAUCUGUCCUUCAUCUCAAUAUAAAGUCUGCCCAGCACUUCUGUCGCAACACAUUUGAAUUGCAGUUCUAUUGACAGUCCUACAUCAGAACUCAACUCCCCAUCAAGGUUUCUUUUUUAUGGUUAUUUUGAUUACAGGAAAUCCAUAGCAUUCACUACCUUCUUUUGCUUUAUCGAUGGAUUGUGUGAUCAGUUUCGUCCGUUUCUCAUCAUUUUGCAGAAAGCAUGAAAGGGUUUUGAUUUCUUCAGCAGCUUCCUUAUGUGCAGUCCAGACUUUUGUAGAUUCUUCUGAACUAUAUUAAUUUGGCGCAGGAGAUUUGACCAGUAUUCCAGAUAAGCAAAAACUUCAUAAUUUUCCAAUGCAUGAAGACAAUUUUGUGAACUGCUUCUAGUGUCCAUUUUUUCAGUUGUUGAUUCAGAAAGUUUCUCCAACAGUUUGAUGAUUUUGUCGAGAUGCAAGGAAACUGCCGACGUAGCUUCUUCUCUUGCCGACCACCUUGUAUUACUUUCUUCAAGCCUCGAGGCUCCAGCUUCUUUCAGUUUGGCCCAUCUCUGGAGUGAAUUUGAAAAAAAAAAGUUGAACAAUUCAUGUAGAAAUCCAAAAAUAGGUAACAAUUGCUGGAUUUAUCUCAGCAGAAUGAAGAGCUGCCAGGUUCAGAGAGUGACUAUCACAGUUCAGAAAUGUUGUCUUUGGAUUUAUGUCUAAGAGACGUUUCUGCAGGCCAGACAGACGUCCACUCAUUGUGGCUGCGUUAUCAUAGGUUUGACCUCUGCACAGAUCAAAGUCCAGUCCAAUGUCUUUAAAAGUUUUCAGAACAAGUUCUUCAUAAUGUUGUGAAUCAGGUUUACACAUUUUAAAGUAACCAAUGAAUGACAUUUUCAUUUCCAAAUGAUCAAUAUCCAAGUAACAAACUAUUCUUGAUGAGAAACAUCUGGGGUGGAAUCAAGCUUCAUUGAAAAGUAACAAACUUGCUUGACUUUCCCAACAAUUGAUUCCCUAACUAUAUUACCCAUCAAGUUAAUGAGCUCAUUUUGAAUUUCUGGUGACAAGUAAUGUUUCUUCCCAUAUUCGAUUCUAUGUAAGUGGUGUUUCGUAACAUCAAAUUCUGCAAAACAUUUCAAUGAUGCUAGGAAGUUCCCAGGAUUGGGUGAAUUCAGUUUUUCUUUGUGACCACGUAAGCUUCUGGAGAAGGUGAUUUUGGAAGUCCAUCGCUUGACUCAUCUUCACUUACUUCAGAUGUUUUCUAUGACUGUGGUAAAAGGGUAUUCCCCUGGAGUUUCUUCAGCACUACUUCUCUCAUCAAUAAACAUUGUCACUUCUUUGACUGCUGUAUCUUUGUAUGAAGCAUCUGAAUUGUGAUACUUUUCUUCGACGCGUUCAUGGUGUCUUUUGUUUUCGGUGCUCUUAUCAGGUUUCUUCUUAAAUGAAAAGAUAAUGAAAUAAACUACCCUAUAUACCAAGUUACUUACUGAGAGUUACAUGGCUAUAGUCAGCGCUACUCUUUGAGAUUUAGAGUAACCCCGCACGGAAAGAGUUAAUAAUUUGUGUUCAAUACAUACAAUAGGGUCACUAACUUAUAUAACAACGUGAAAUGCAAUAUUACAUGACAGUGACGUAAUAUUUAAUUUAUUUAAAAACAAAUUUCGGACACUUAUUUGGGGGUCCCCCUGAAGUGGAGGCCCGGGGGGAUCUUCAAAUUCUCCCCCUCCUCCCCCCACCCUAGCUACGCCACUGGUUAAUAUAUAACAAACAAAUAGUGAACAAAGUGCACGUACUAUUCGUUGUUUACGUUUCAACAUCCACUCAACAAACACUAUUCCAUAUUGAUCACACUCUAACCUUCUCCUACUGCUGAAAUAUGGGCUGGCGUUAAGGUCAUCUAACAAACACUAUUCCCUAUUGAUCACACCCUUCUCCUACUGCUGAAAUAUGGGCUGGCUUUAAGGUCAUCUAACAAAGUCUUAACAUAGACAUAAAGUUUUACCAGUUCAAAGUGAUGGUAUCUGAAUAUGGAUCAGCCCGCAUACGGAUAGGCAAAUGUUCACAAAAUAUUUGCUUAUAAAAGUGUGCGAAUUUUUUUUUUCCAUUUAGGUUGAUCUCUACUGAUGCCAAAAUAUCUAUAAAGUAUUCCGUUUAUUUUUUCUAGCUUCCUAUGUGUAAUCAAAUUAUCUAAUUUGGCAUCCUUUAUAAACUUGAAUUUAGAGCAACAAUGCUGAAUUGUGUAUUUAGUCUCCUGCUUCUAGUGAGACUUGGAUCAGAAGCUUUGCUAGAAGAUGAUCCAUGUGAAGGUUUUUGUUUCCAUGGUGGAACAUGUGAAGCGCCUGCUUCUAUUCCCUAUUGCAAAUGUCUUCCAGGCUUUACUGGCAAAAGAUGUCAAAUAUUAACAGUUGUACAAGGAACAUGUCCAACCAAAGGAUUAUGUAGCGGCGACCGCUGUGUCUCUGACUCUGAUUGUGAUGACCAAAGAUGUUGUCCCUCAACCUGUGGAGGCAGUGUUUGUACUCACGUCCCUGAAGUCGAUGUAAACCUGGCGGCGCUUUGCAAGUCUGUCAAAUGUCUCCUGAAUACAUCCUGUCGUUUAGCUGUCAGCUGUGAUGGAUGCCCGCCCCUUGUGACAUGUAUUCAAAACCAUCUGCUCGAAGAAGGACACAGCAGCAUUCUUCCAUUGAAGUGACUUCAAUACUGAGCAACGCUAGCACUUCAAGAAAACAGAAGAGCAGAAGCUCAAUACAUUUAUAUAAUGAGAAUAUAAAUCAUGUGUUUGUUCUUCAUGUUAUGUUGUACUAGUAUUGAAAUAUGACUAAUAAAGGACAUGAACAAAUAAAAA